This 671-nucleotide long non-coding RNA is filed under the name Ananas comosus (pineapple). RNAcentral's name for it is "long non-coding RNA (ACOM_LNC027389)". Lineage: Eukaryota; Viridiplantae; Streptophyta; Magnoliopsida; Poales; Bromeliaceae. The record is from RNAcentral.
AUAUAUUUGAAAAAAAUUAAUUUUUUAUAAAUUAAGGUUUUUUGUAGAAUAGCAAAACUUUUUUGUUUAAGAGAAAGAUAGUAUAUUACCUGCUUCGUCUCGAGUCUCAACCAUUAAGAACUUUGUCACUUGCAUUAAAAACGGCCGGUAAUGAUAAAAUUUUAUAAAAAUAAGAAACGGUCGGUAAUGAUAAAAUUUUAUAAGAAUAAUUUUUAUAUUAACUAUUUAAAAGAAUAAAUAUGAAAGUUAAAAAUUUUAUAAUAAUAUAUAAGCAAAUGGCCGUGCAUUAAAAAUUAUUAAUAGGGAGUACUAGUGCCAGCCGAAUAACUUGGCCCAAGAACCCGUCUUUCGGUGAACACGGACAAAAACUAAAAAAAAAGAGAAAUAUUUCUUCUUUGAUUAUCGUUUUUUUUUUAAAGCAUUAUAUGCAUAUUCUAAAAGGAUAUACAUCAUAUAUUCUUUCAUCCUAAGAUUCUGAUUUUAUCACCGACCGUCCCUAGAGCAAAUGGCAAAGAUUUGAUGGUUGGUAUUCGAGACCCAAGUUCGAAUCCUAGUUGAUUCACACUUCUUGCUAAGUUUAUUUCUAAAUUAAAAUAAACGAAGCGAAUAACGUGCUGCCUAUCUCUCAAAAAAAAAAAAAAAAGAUUCUGAUUUUAUCGGCUUUUACUGUU